CAGGACGAACGCUGGCGGCGUGCUUAACACAUGCAAGUCGAACGAGGAUCAAGGAAGAGCUUGCUCUGAGAUGAUUCGAGUGGCGGACGGGUGAGUAACGCGUGAACAAUCUGUCUCAUACAGGGGGAUAACGCAUCGAAAGAUGUGCUAAUACCGCGUAGGACCACGACAUCGCAUGGUGCGAGGGGUGAAAGGAGCAAUCCGGUAUGAGGUGAGUUCGCGUCUGAUUAGAUAGUUGGUGAGGUAACGGCCCACCAAGUCAACGAUCAGUAGCCGACCUGAGAGGGUGAUCGGCCACAUUGGGACUGAGACACGGCCCAGACUCCUACGGGAGGCAGCAGUGGGGAAUAUUGGGCAAUGGGCGAAAAAGCCUGACCCAGCAACGCCGCGUGAAGGAAGAAGGUUUUCGGAUCGUAAACUUCUGUCCUUGGUGAAGAUAGUGACGGUAGCCAAGGAGGAAGCCCCGGCUAACUACGUGCCAGCCGCCGC
Molecule: ribosomal RNA, 489 nt
Filed under: uncultured bacterium
Lineage: Bacteria
Description: bacterial SSU rRNA
Rfam family: Bacterial small subunit ribosomal RNA
Source: RNAcentral